AUUUCUCAAAAGGCCAGAACGUACAUCCUUUCGGUCUUAUCCCACCCGACGCCUGAACCGCUGGACAGGUUGGCUUCACCAAAGAGCACAGGAUCCAGUCAUGUGGAUAGCACCUUGUGGUUCGUGGGCUAAAGCAGAAGAUUUUGGCCAUCAUGAACCGCUACGGAUGUAGCUUACCGAAUAAGGCACCACCGCACAACUGUUGACUGCAACGGUCGAGGAGCGUCUGGCCGUCGUGGAUUAAUGAAGGUUAGCUAUUAAAGAUCUCGCAAGUGACAAGUGUCAUGAGUGCAUGGUAAUUUUGU
Long non-coding RNA from Brachypodium distachyon (stiff brome), 305 nucleotides. RefSeq lists it as uncharacterized. NCBI's taxonomy places the organism in Eukaryota, Viridiplantae, Streptophyta, Magnoliopsida, Poales, Poaceae. The record is from RefSeq and is a predicted model, not a curated record. The transcript has 3 exons.